CGGCGGACGGGUGAGUAACGCGUGGGUAACCUACCCUGUACACACGGAUAACAUGCCGAAAGGUAUGCUAAUACGGGAUAAUAUAUUUGAGAGGCAUCUCUUGAAUAUCAAAGGUGAGCCAGUACAGGAUGGACCCGCGUCUGAUUAGCUAGUUGGUAAGGUAACGGCUUACCAAGGCGACGAUCAGUAGCCGACCUGAGAGGGUGAUCGGCCACAUUGGAACCGAGACACGGUCCAA
This 238-nucleotide ribosomal RNA is filed under the name uncultured bacterium. RNAcentral describes it as "partial 16S ribosomal RNA". It matches the Rfam family "Bacterial small subunit ribosomal RNA", at positions 96 to 334 of the family's 1533-position model. The record is from RNAcentral.